CGCGCGACACGCCGCCCAUUGCCCCCCCCCCCCCGCAGGAAGGAGGCAAAACCAGAACGCGCGAAGGGAGGGGGCGGGCAACAGGCGCGCACUCGACCCCGCCCUAUCUGGCUCUCUGCCCGCGCCCGGCGACUUAGCGGGCUGCGCCGGGGCCGGGAUCACCCCACAGCCUCACCUCCAACCUCAGCCAAUCGGCUCGCGUUCCAGUAGCCAGGCUCCGCCGACAUACCCUCGUAAGCAAGAUUCGGCGGCAGCCAAUCAGAAACAACACUCACCCCCCCCCCCCCCGCGCGCUCUCUCUCUCUCUCUCUCUCUGGCGACCCUGGUAACAGAGGCGGCCGCUGCAGGGACACGUGGGACGGAGGGAGAUUGCCGUGCCGCGUUACCUAGACAACCGAUCAACCACAACACGGGGCGGGGGCCACGAAUGGGCGUCGAUCCCGGCCCGGCGCAGGCAGGUCGCGGCGCCUCCGCCGCUGUGUCACAGUCGCCCCGCCGUGGGAGAGUUCAGUGCCCUGGGUCGCAGGGAGACUUUGGUCCCAUCCUUGUACUGCAGGCACCCCCUACAUUUCUGCCAAGUCAGGAGCACGCCUAGUGCCCGCACAGCUAGCGCGCACAGGACCACGCCUAAGGCCCACACGCAGCCCUGGGCACAGGCAGAAAAGACACACAGCUAAGUAGAGCACUUGCGGAGAAUGCACACACCCAGAAAAACAGCGGCCAAAUUAAACGAAGACGUUGUCCUCUCUGACUCCUAGCCAACGUACAAAAGCCACCCUGAACUUUCCGGUGCCAUCUCAACCGCAGGGACAAACGAUCUGUCCGCUGCCAGGAAGCACUAGCAAGUCAAAAACUAAUUUUUCUGGAUGUGAGCCGACGGCUUGCAAUAUUCAAAUUCAAGUUAUUGGGAAGAACAGAUGAAAAACGACAAGCUGGCAUACUGCCAUACUGGCAGAUUACCCGUAGGCCACUGUGAAAUGCACAAAGAAAAUAAAAGAUGCCCCUGAAGAAGCCUUCAGGAGCUCAGUAUGGGAAGCGAAAAGUUCAACUGCAAUCUAGCAAGGGGCAAAUUUGAUGGGAAAAUAUCUGAAACAGAACAACAUAGACUGGGCCUUGGGCAGUAGCGAUUGUCCCAGUGCAGAAGAAAUUGAGGAGCAAAGCAUAAAUGAUAUAAAUCCUAUUACUAAGGAAUUAGCAGAUUUACCUGAAGAUAAGGAAUGGAAAUGCGAGGAAAGUGAUGGAGAAUCAUCCAGUUUUCCUGGCGGCGUAAAAGAGAUCAGGGUUGGAAGGGACCUCAGGAAGUCAUCUAGUUCAACCCCCUGCUCAAAGCAGGACCAAUCCCCGAUUUUUGCCCCAGAUCCCUAAAUGGCCCCCUCAAGGAUUGAACUCACAACCCUGGGCUUAGCAGGCCAAUGCUCAAACCACUGAGCUAUCCAAGUGAUGAUAAAGAAAAAUCUGGCUCACAUGAAAAGGAGAGAAGCAGCAAAGAAGAAUCAGCAUCACACAAUGACAGAAACAGCAGUGAGAAAAAUUGCACACCACAAAUCGAUACAUCAGAUCCCACUUUAUGGCCUGCAAUCCUAAAUUCUGCCGAUAUUCAUUGUACAAUUUUGAACGGGCUGGGCAAAAUCAAGGAGAUGAUAUUUCCAGUAAAUAAUCAGAUCAGAAGUGACACUUUUCAAAGUCACACUGUGAAAGAGUGCUCGAGAAUGGUGAGAAACUGAAUCAGCAUUGGCUAGUUUACUCAAAGUCAACUGACAAAGUGUUCUGGUUUUGUUUCAAAAUAUUUUAUAAGAAUGUCAAAUCAUUGCCUGAGCUUUCCAGGUACAAUUACUGGCAUAACUUAGCUGAUACUCUGAAGCAACAUGAAAAGUCACCCAGCCAUUUUACGGCCCACUCCAAAUGGAUGGAGGUUGAAUCCAGGCUCAAGCUGAAUAAAUGCCUAGAUGCAGAAAACCAGCACAUUAUUAAUGUAGAAACCCAGCACUGGAGGAACGUGCUCGAGCAUCUGAUCUCAACUACCCUCUUCCUUGCAAAGAAUAAUUUGGCUUUCUGGUGCUUGUUGGAUAAGUUGUUCACUGAACAUAACAAUAAUUUCCUUGGUUUGGUAGAACUUCUUGGGAAAUACAGUGAUAUCAUGUGUGAGCACUUAUGUUGAGUAAUUUGUAAAGAAGCUAUGGACCAUUACUGCAGCAAAACAAUUCAAAAUUAAUUGAUUGACCUUAUGGCAAGGAAGGUAUUCGAUAAGAUGUUAAUGUGGCUUGGCAAAGAGAAUUACUAUGCCAUAAUAAUGGACUGCACUUCCAACAUUAGUCACAGUGAGAAGAUAUCAUUUACAGUAAGAUUCGUUGACUAUUAGGAUGGCUGUAUCCAAAUAAAGGAACGUUUUAUCUGUUUCCAGUCUGUGGACAAUUCUACUGGAAAAGACCUAACAGAACUGUUUAAGAACAUUUUGAAUGAGAAUAAAAUAAAGUUCAGGAGUGCCAUGGUCCAGACUACAACAACGGUGCGAACAUGAAGGGAAGAAACAGCGACAUCCAGGCAAGGAUCCUUGUGCUGAAUCCAAGAGCUUCCUUCAUGCCUUGUGGUAAAUCAUGCAUGCAGAUCGUGCAUCAAAGUCAUGAAAUGGGCUACAAAUGCCAUAAAAAUAAGGUAUUCAAAAGUUCAACAAAUGGGGGGUUAGGGGGUGGGGAAAAAACAUUUCUCGCCUGGAGCGCCAUUUGAUCUAGGGCUGGCCCUGAAUAUAGUCAGCUGGUGCAGGUGAGGGGCUACUAAGUUUCAUUCUGUUCCUAUUUAAUCUAUAUUUUUGGUCUCUGUGUACAGUUGUGGAAUGAUUACUUCACUUAGGGUGGCAAUGCAAAUGUAUACAGUUAACAUGUCCAUCUCAUCCCGUCCCUUUGUAACCUGUUGUCAAGGUAUACUAAACUCGGACCCAAGAAAGUUUGUUGCUUCAAAUCCAAAAUGACCAUAAGGAAAUUUAACAUUAUAAAUGAUGUCUCUUGGUGAGUUUCAGAUCAUCAAUACUGUAGUUUCAGGCACCGAUGGCCAAGGUCAUGAGAAAUCAGUUUAAAACGUGAAAGAAAUUUGUGGACCAAUUUGUCUGAGUCCUGCUGAAAUCCAGGGGAUAAUUUGUAUCUGUUCUACAGAGAUUUAGCUACAUCUCUUCUAGUUUUCACAUAACUGUUUUUUAUGCCUAAUCCUUCAAGCUCUUUGUAAGGGGACUAGUUCGUAUGCCAAGGCCUUAUAGUAUUAUGCCCAAAUUUGGAGAAAAAAAAGUGAGAAUAUUGCAAUGCCUCUGUAACAUAAAAUAACUAAUGCAGAGAAAACAAACAACAAUAAUUUAGCAACAGAGCACAAUUAAAUAACAAUACUACAGUGUUUUCCUCAGGCAAAAAUAAUAAAAAAGUCUCACUGUACUAGAAUGUCCUUGGAGUUAGAAGCAGCAUUAGGUACACACACAACCCAAGGAGGUGGGGGCGUGGGAGUGGCCUCAAAAGUAUGGGUCAGUGAGCAACAUUUCACUUGUGUUGGUGGAGAGGAACAGAAGCUAAAGGUAACAGAGUGCAGAGUGUGGAUGCACGGGGAGAAGUGACUCUGAAGAAUGAUCCUCCCAAGCUGAUAGAAACCUCCAUGUAAGAUUCUGAGCAGGCUGGGGCUCCGUAGCUCAGAAAAGAAUUGGGAAUAGGGAACAGCUGUUCUCUGUGGCAUGUCCCCCUUCCAAAUCUCAACUGGAAUGCAUGCUGCUAGGAGAAGAAUUAACAUCAGCUCCAUGAUGUCCCUUCUCCAUUGAAUACAACUGUAAUGAACACCAAUAAAAAUAAAAAUAUUUAGUUAGAUUGCAAAAGGUUUGUAUGAAGAGCAUUCCCUUUUGGUCUAAUAAAGCAUAGGCUGAGAGUCACUUGAUUUUUGCAUUCCUUGAGGAAUUCUCAAAUUAAAUCUUGCAAGGGCGUCUUAACAUUAAGAUAGUGAUGUGCUAUCGUCAUUUUGGAUGUGCAAUCAGCAAGUGGGAGCAUUUUUGUAGCAUCUCCUCCUAAAGAGGAAGCCAACUUUGUGGAGUGGAGGCAAAAUCUCCUUCUGUUUUUAUCCCAAAUAGCCUUUAGUUAGUCAUCAUUUAUUUUCAGGUACUGGAAUCAAUCUUAAACAGUGCUCAACCAGCAUUACAAGGACAAAAAAAAUAAAAAUAAUAAUAAACAUAUUGCAGAACCAACAUGCCAUUUGCUGCCAUCAUAUUGUUCACUGUUUGUGUGUUAUAGCCCUUCUCCCACUUUGUGUCUUGUCUUGUCUAUGUAGACUGCUCUUUAGGGCAGGGAUUGGGGCUUAGUCUAUAUUUGUACAGUACCUGGCACUAUGGGGCUUAGUUCUCAGAUUGCCCUUAGGCACUGCCAUAAUAAGCAUGAUAAUUAAUAGUAUGGAUUGAGCCGGAGAGCGCAGAAUUGCCCAGAGAUUUUUCUCUUUUUCAUACUAAUAUGAGUUUACAAACAAAAAAUCCCUUGGGAAGAACAGACCCCAGUAUUGAGCGUGAUCUAGUCUUAGUUACACCAGCAUAAAUCAGGAGUAAAUCCACAACAUCAAUGUUAUUUCACUAGUAUAAAAUUAGUGCCGGGGAGAGGAGAACAAAGCCCCUUGUUUUUAAUUAGCAAAACCCUUAUUUGCAGGGAUUUGUUUCAUUCUGGACCAAAACAUGGCUUGCAAACUCGUAGCUCAAGGUUUAAGGCAUUUUUUUGAAGAAGGAAAAAAAAAUCAAUUUGGCUGUUUUCAAGUCUCCCAAAGCAGGGAUUCAGGAAUCUGAGUUAAUCUGAACGGGGUUUGUGGAGAUUUCAUCCAGCCUUUCCUUCCGGCCAUCAUUUAAAUCCCCUCCUACCAUCCUCCAUGCAAGCUGCAACGGCAUCAUCAUAAUAACCCUAUGACCGAGAGGGAUGAGAAUCUCCACCGAGACUGUAAUCUCACUCUAAACAGCUCUCUAGCGGAUGCUCAUGAGUGGUGAUACAUCAUGCAAUUUUCUCCUUUAGAGACUCAGAGUGUCACCUCCACUGUGAUCCCUGCCCUGCCUGGCAGAUGCCAGUAAGUGAGAGCCCAAAGUUAGCCUCAGACCAGCGUUUCUUAUGUGACUGUGCACUGAUGCUGCAUAGCAAAGCAAUGCUGAGUCUGCAGGCCAGCCUGCCUGCCAGUGAUUAAUAUUUCCAUAUUGGCUAUUAUGCAUUUGCUGGAAGCAUUUUCCAUAACAUUAUUUUAAUAUCUUUAUUAUUUCCAAUAUAGAUAACAACAUACAUUUGAGUCAGAACUGCACAUUGUAAUCACUCAAACAUAUGAAACAGGUAGUGUCAUGCAGAGCUCUGUAUUACCACCUGUGCAGACUUGUAUUUGUAAUAAUGUACACAUGCUAACAAAAAAGCUAUACAUUUGACUUGAUAAGGAACGUUAUUGGCAUAAUAAGGAACGUUAUUGGCAUAAUAGAAUAAUCCCCAAUAGACCUGUGUAUUUCCAUAAUGCUAUUUAAUAUGCACAGAUGCAAACUAAUGCCCUGAUGAUGGUUUUUAGUGGGCAGAUCUAUCAAGUUCUCACACGUUCAAAUGCAAUACUGUGGCUCUAAGAGAGGAACUAGCAUGCAGCCUUGAAUAGUGUGUAACUCCACACUAAAAUGGUAACCCAAACACAGUUUACCCCACAGAAUUUUUCCUUCAUAUAAAAAUAAAUGCAAACUACUGUAUUUAUAUAUUAUUAACAGUUUGAUACAAACCCAUAGACAUCCGGAACUUAGAGCUGAGCCUCCCACUCUGAUGCUAACUCAUAUAUCAUUGUGUCUUCUCUCCCUCUGUCUAAAAGCAUGAUAAGAAUGGAAUGUCAACCUCAGCUUUUAAGUGCCUGAACCACAUGCUGCCCUCAGUCCUGCUCCCACGUUCCCCCUCCUCUUCCAUUCAUUUGAUUUCAUUGACAUUAUGUGGAUGCCACCAGGGACAGCAUUUGCACCCCUCCCUUUCGUCAGUUUGUGUAAUAACCUGAGCAUUGUCUACACACAGGGUUUUGUAUUUAAUAAUCUUCCCAGCUUAACUGUUUUCAUCUGACUCUCCCUCCUGAACUGAUAAAUCUAAAUUGCACAUUUUUUGAACAGCUUAGCUUAUAUCUUGCAGGUAUCCUUAAAUGACUGCCUAGUCUCUUUUGUACUUGUCUAGCACCAUCUACUGUAACUAUAUUAUACUGUCUUCCCUUUCUUUCGAGACUGCACGUUUAUGAUUCCUUCAGGAGUGUGCACUGGGGCUAAGGUGUUCACGGCAAAUCAUGAAGUCUGAAUCCAUUUCAAAGGCCACAUGCUCUUAUGAUAGAGAAGCAAAUGCAACAUGCACCCAUCCUGUACAUAGAAUGACCUGUAUUUGUCAAUUUAAAAUCAGUUUAGGUGAGAAGAGCUUCUUAGAUCUGCCAGUUUUCUAAUGGCAAGUUCUGCUCCCUCCUCAGCAGCUAGAGAGGACAGCAGAACAAGGGGAGGGGAGCAUCCCAAUCAAGAGGUCAGCACCCUUUGCGCACCACACAGCCCAGAUUCACUGAAAGCCACUGAGGCAGCGUGCACAAAAAGCUUUAAGAGCGGGGCAGGCAAGGCAGGGCACCCUCCUGUGCCAGCUCCACACAACAACAGAUCUUCUGGCCACUGCCAUCUACAAUGGGGAUGCUAGUUCAGCUGGGAUUUAUGCAAUCUGGGAGCCUCAAAAGGAGCUGUAGAAUGGGCCUGGAAGUGGGAGGAGUUUCCCAGCAAAAAAUCCUGUCCACUGCUGUUCUGUAGGGUGUGGGACGGGGAGGAACUCCCCAUAGAAUCCUCCUUCGUGCCCAGCCCUACAAUGCAGCAUUGACACAGGGGACAAAAUUUAGCUUUACAUAUUCUUAUUACAUUGUAUUUUUGUAGGUGGAUUUUGCACAGCAAAGGACUAGUACAGGUAGAAAGAGAACCGAAACCUCCUAGCUACUAUGACUUUUAUGGAUUUGUAUUAUUAUUAUUUAGUGGCAUCACAGUAACACCCAAAGGUCCCAUCGUCCUAGGAGCUGUAUGUUAUGAAGCUUUCUUUUUAAAAAUCUGAUUAGCUAAAGAGUAUCAUUUCUUUGGAUGGCAGAUUUAAACUCAUAAUACCAUUCAAUCUAUUCCAGAUAUGGGAUCUCCUGCAUUAUUAGUGGGAUUUGUAUAACAGCCAGAGCAUAAUAUAUGUCAUAUAUGCCUGGUGUGUGCACUUUCAUGGUGAAUACCAUAAACAUGCCUUACAGAACUCCAUUCCCAAAUCACCAGGGUAAAUUAUUUGUUUUGAUGGUGAGUGAAAUAUUUAGUUUUCUAUGAUUAUGAUAAUUGUAAAGGGUAGAAACUGAGGAGAUUUAGUGAUUCAUCUGGUAAAAUAUCAUGACAAUUUUGCAAGGCUGCCAUAAAGGUAGCUUAUUAACCUGAUAGUGUUUCUUGAUGGUGUUCUAAAAAGAGCUAAACUAUGCAUGCAUUCCAGCCAAAUGUAUGCAUUUGUUCUGCUGCAAUGUUUUAUCUCUGUUAGUGAAUUUAUCCUACCGUCCCAGCAUUCUGUAAGGGAAUGAUGCAAGAGACUGAAGACUACUCUCUCCAGGAUUACCUUGCAUUUGCUAGUCAAAAAUUAUUACAACAGCAUUUUCAUUUGCAUGUGUGAAGCGUCUCUGGAUUUUCAGUAAAUUUGUCUUUCAAAGCUG
Molecule: long non-coding RNA, 7686 nt
Organism: Caretta caretta (loggerhead turtle)
Lineage: Eukaryota; Metazoa; Chordata; Testudines; Cheloniidae
Source: RefSeq, a predicted model, not a curated record